ACGGCUCAGUAACACGUGGACAACCUGCCCAAAGGUCCGGGAUAACCCCGGGAAACUGGGGAUAAUACCGGAUAAAUCACAAGUACUGGAAGGUUUUGUGGUUGAAACUUCCGGGGCCUUUGGAUGGGUCUGCGGCGGAUUAGGUUGUUGCCGGUGUAACGUACCGUCAAGCCUGUAAUCCGUACGGGUUGUGGGAGCAAGAGCCCGGAGAUGGAUUCUGAGACACGAAUCCAGGCCCUACGGGGCGCAGCAGGCGCGAAAACUCUACAAUGCAGGCAACUGCGAUAGGGGAACAUCGAGUGAUACUCAUCUUGGGUGUCUGUCCUCCCGUCUAAAAAACGGGAGUUAGCAAGGGCCGGGCAAGACCGGUGCCAGCCGCCGCGGUAAUACCGGCGGCUCGAGUGGUGGCCGAUAUUAUUGAGUCUAAAGGGUCCGUAGCCGGCUUUGCAAGUCUUUUGGGAAAUCCAGCGGCUUAACCGUUGGUCGUCCGGGAGAUACUACAUUGCUUGGGACUGGGAGAGGUAGGAGGUACUCAGGGGGUAGGAGUGAAAUCCUGUAAUCCUUUGGGGACCACCGGUGGCGAAGGCGUCCUACCAGAACAGGUCCGACGGUGAGGGACGAAAGCUAGGGGCACGAACCGGAUUAGAUACCCGGGUAGUCCUAGCCGUAAACGAUGCUCGCUAGGUGUCACAACAAUCGUGAAUUGUUGUGGUGCCGUAGGGAAGCCGUGAAGCGAGCCACUUGGGAAGUACGACCGCAAGGUUGAAACUUAAAGGAAUUGGCGGGGGAG
RNAcentral lists this ribosomal RNA (790 nucleotides) under uncultured archaeon. RNAcentral describes it as "bacterial SSU rRNA". It matches the Rfam family "Archaeal small subunit ribosomal RNA", at positions 85 to 876 of the family's 1478-position model. The record is from RNAcentral.